This 379-nucleotide ribosomal RNA is filed under the name uncultured bacterium. Its description in RNAcentral is "bacterial SSU rRNA". It matches the Rfam family "Bacterial small subunit ribosomal RNA", at positions 521 to 896 of the family's 1533-position model. The record is from RNAcentral.
UAAGACGUAGGGGGCGAGCGUUGUCCGGAUUUAUUGGGCGUAAAGCGCGCGCAGGCGGUUCGGAUAGUCGGGUGUGAAAAUCCGGGGCUCAACCCCGGACCUGCAUCCGAUACUUCCGGACUGGAGGCAGGUAGGGGAGAGCGGAAUUCCCGGUGUAGCGGUGAAAUGCGCAGAUAUCGGGAAGAACACCGGUGGCGAAGGCGGCUCUCUGGACCUGUCCUGACGCUCAGGCGCGAAAGCUAGGGGAGCGAACAGGAUUAGAUACCCUGGUAGUCCUAGCCGUAAACGAUGGGUGCUAGGUGUGGGGCGGCGAUCGACCCGUUCCGUGCCGUAGCUAACGCAUUAAGCACCCCGCCUGGGGAGUACGGCCGCAAGGCUA